This 708-nucleotide ribosomal RNA is filed under the name uncultured Acidobacteriota bacterium. Its description in RNAcentral is "bacterial SSU rRNA". It matches the Rfam family "Bacterial small subunit ribosomal RNA", at positions 66 to 750 of the family's 1533-position model. The record is from RNAcentral. Lineage: Bacteria; Pseudomonadati; Acidobacteriota.
ACGAGGCGGAAGGGGGCAACUCCUUCCAGUCGAGUGGCGGACGGGUGAGUAACACGUGGGUAACCUGCCCGGAAGUGUGGAAUACCUCGGGGAAACUCGAGCUAAUACCGCAUGACAUCUUCGGGACGAAAGUCCUGACGAUCAAAGCGGGGUCGCAAGAUCUCGCGCUACCGGAUGGGCCCGCGCCCGAUUAGCUAGUUGGUGGGGUAACGGCUCACCAAGGCUUCGAUCGGUAACCGGCCUGAGAGGGCGAUCGGUCACACCGGAACUGAGACACGGUCCGGACUCCUACGGGAGGCAGCAGUGGGGAAUCUUGCGCAAUGGGCGAAAGCCUGACGCAGCAACGCCGCGUGGAGGAUGAAGGCCCUUGGGUUGUAAACUCCUGUCGGCUGGGAAGAAAUCGUGCGGUGCUCAUACCACCGUACGUUGACUGUACCAGCAAAGGAAGCCCCGGCUAACUCUGUGCCAGCAGCCGCGGUAAUACAGAGGGGGCUAGCGUUAUUCGGAAUUAUUGGGCGUAAAGGGCGCGUAGGCGGCCAUGCGUGUCUUCCGUGAAAUCCCUCGGCUUAACUGAGGACGUGCGGAAGAAACUGCAAGGCUCGAGUCCGGGAGAGGGGGGUGGAAUUCCCAGUGUAGCGGUGAAAUGCGUAGAUAUUGGGAGGAACACCGGUGGCGAAGGCGGCCCCCUGGACCGGUACUGACGCUGAG